Molecule: non-coding RNA, 74 nt
Organism: Potamilus streckersoni
Lineage: Eukaryota; Metazoa; Mollusca; Bivalvia; Unionida; Unionidae
Source: the annotation of a GenBank genome assembly
CGCUCAGGUGGCCUAUUGGUUAAAAUAUCCGCCUCAAAUGCGUGAGCUCGUGGGUUCGAACCCCGUUCGAGUCA